GCACGGCCACGCGUGCAUUCCUUUUCAGCUGUGCGACAAGGCUUGUAUCGUCUUGAUCGUAUAAGUGGGUUUCCUGUGUUGCAUACCUGAUCAAUGGCAUCGUCUUGAUCAAAAGUGUCUAUUUUUCGUCUGGCAAUGCACCUGCAUUGUCGGAUGAACCACGUAGCAUCCUCUUUGAUCCAUACAGUUGACGUGCUAUCGUUGAUUGUUUGGCCCAUUGAGCGGUGACUCGGUCUCUCGGAUAUGGAAGCCAAAGUGGGCAUGGGAUCGCAAGAUCUCUUUAUUGUCCUCAUUGAGCGUUCUCACUUCUCUUACAUGACCGCCUUUCACGUAUGGCUACGUCCCAGCGUGUUUGGCUACGUCGAAGAGGAAUGUUGGGCGUUCUUGCUUUUCUUACACGACUGCCUUUCACGUAUGGCACGUCCCAGC
RNAcentral lists this unclassified non-coding RNA (429 nucleotides) under Euthamia gymnospermoides. RNAcentral describes it as "partial external transcribed spacer". The record is from RNAcentral. Lineage: Eukaryota; Viridiplantae; Streptophyta; Magnoliopsida; Asterales; Asteraceae.